AUACCUUUCUCGGCCUUUUGGCUAAGAUCAAGUGUAGUAUCUGUUCUUAUCAGUUUAAUAUCUGAUACGUGGGCCAUUGGCUCACAUGAUAUUAAUUAACUCAAUUUUUAUAGGGUAAAGGCCCAUUUAGGUAGCUUGCUGCCUGGGCCUUUGAGUGUCACCUUGGUAGUGCACUAUUACCUUGGCCUGGCACACCCCAC
Small nuclear RNA from Ipomoea triloba (trilobed morning glory), 200 nucleotides. RefSeq annotates it as U2 spliceosomal RNA. NCBI's taxonomy places the organism in Eukaryota, Viridiplantae, Streptophyta, Magnoliopsida, Solanales, Convolvulaceae. The transcript has a single exon. The record is from RefSeq and is a predicted model, not a curated record.